UUCAGUUUAUUAACGCGGUGUGAAAUUGUUGAAUUGCUGAAAUAUUGUGCGUGCAUUUUGUCGGAAAGGACUGAGGCGCUGCACAUCUUCUUCCAAUUGGCUUUCAUUAGUCGUGCGAACUCGGCGAAAUCAAGAGAUUUGCAUAAUUGGAAACUGAUGACGUGGCCCGUUCCGGCCGUCUGGCCCUGCGAUUGACAAAUUUCAGCGAGUUUACCAAAUAUUCAACGAACAUUCAUCAAGCGUUCUUUAUUUAUCAUAGUUUUUAGUUUGGAUUUAUAGCAUAGAUACAAAAUUUUAAAUCAUAAAAUUUUACAAGGAAACACUAACAAAACAGGAAUACACAACAACAAAA
This 352-nucleotide small RNA is filed under the name Drosophila mojavensis. Its description in RNAcentral is "GI26958". The record is from RNAcentral. Lineage: Eukaryota; Metazoa; Arthropoda; Insecta; Diptera; Drosophilidae.